RNAcentral lists this unclassified non-coding RNA (1114 nucleotides) under Pseudognaphalium ramosissimum. RNAcentral describes it as "contains 5' external transcribed spacer, ETS". Lineage: Eukaryota; Viridiplantae; Streptophyta; Magnoliopsida; Asterales; Asteraceae. The record is from RNAcentral.
GUUGAGUCACGGGUCGAUUUAAUCAUGACUUAUGAGUGACGAUAUACUUGAUGUUGAAGGCAUUGUUACCCAACAAGUGGGGAGUUUGAUUUGGUUGGGACAAAUUGAACGAUCUGCGGUAGCAGCGAUAAAUGACGUGGUGUGGUUGGAAGUUGAGCCAUGCCCGGAUGUUGUUGUUAUUUUGUGAUGUUGAUGAGAUUUGUCAAUUGUUGUGGUGAUGUCAAGUUGUUUGCGGAUCUUAGUUUAACUUUGAUCUUAGUUUUAUGCUUAAUUAGUAUCUUCAUGAGGUAUGCACUAUCAGUUCGAUUGUAUGGCAUGUUGUUGUUUGAUUGUUGCCUUACGAUUGGAUUGUUGGUGCAACCGAUGACAUGAUUUGGCUUGUUAAUCUUAAAACUGUGAUGACAAUUUGUCGUUAUUGUUUGUUGAUGAAUGUUGUUGAAUGGUGAUGCAAGGGUUUCUGGUUUGAUGUGUUGUUGUUGAUGACAUUCGUCUCGAGGUGAUGUGAUGUCAUGUUGCCUGUGUAUCCUGGUAUUGAGCUGUUGAGUUUAAUACCAGUGGAUUAUCAGUUUGUGACACGGCAUCGCUCCCUUGGUUGAUGAAAGUCAUCCAAUGAUGCGGUGGUUUGUUUCUUUUCUUCUCGCAUCGUUCGGUGCAUUCUGUGGUCAUUUUGGCUGUUGGCAGCUUGCUUGGCAUUUGAGCUUGGUGGGUUGCUACUGGUUGGGUGUCUUCGGGGAUGUCUACUGUAAAGGUGCAUGAAUGGUGUUUGGUUUGUUACGGGUGGUUGGCUAUUUGCUUGCGCAACAACUUCUACCUGGCAUACCUCUUCAGUCUUGUGUCAAUGCUUUUAUUGCAUUGAAUGCAUGAUGGGUUUCUUGUGUUGCAUGCCUAAUUAAUGGUAUCACUUGAUGAAUUGGUUUUACUUUCGUCUGGCAUUGCCUAUGCGAUGUGAGAUGAACCUUGAAGCAGCCUUUGUGAUCCACUCUUUUGAUGCAUACGCAUUGAUUUUGUGGCUCAUUGAGUGUUGCUCGGUCUCAUGGAUACGGAACCUGGUGUGGGCAUGGAAUCUUAAUGGUUCCUUGUUUGCCCAAGUUUAGCUUUUCUAAAACGAUUGUCU